Molecule: ribosomal RNA, 253 nt
Filed under: uncultured bacterium
Lineage: Bacteria
Description: partial 16S ribosomal RNA
Rfam family: Bacterial small subunit ribosomal RNA
Source: RNAcentral
UACGUAGGGUGCAGGCGUUAAUCGGAAUUACUGGGCGUAAAGCGUGCGCAGGCGGUUCGCCAAGUCAGGUGUGAAAUCCCCGGGCUUAACCUGGGAAUUGCGCUUGAAACUAGCGGGCUUGAGUGUGGCAGAGGGAGGUGGAAUUCCACGUGUAGCGGUGAAAUGCGUAGAGAUGUGGAGGAACACCGAUGGCGAAGGCAGCCUCCUGGGCCAACACUGACGCUCAUGCACGAAAGCGUGGGGAGCAAACAGG